Molecule: ribosomal RNA, 487 nt
Filed under: Amblylakis nigrolimbata
Lineage: Eukaryota; Metazoa; Arthropoda; Insecta; Orthoptera; Tettigoniidae
Description: partial 16S ribosomal RNA
Rfam family: Archaeal large subunit ribosomal RNA
Source: RNAcentral
AAGUCGGGCCUGCCCACUGAGUAAUAGAAGGGCCGCGGUAUUUAGACCGUGCAAAGGUAGGAUAAACAUUAGUCUUUUAAUUGAGGGCUUGUAUGAAUGGUUUGAUGAAGUAUUGACUGUCUCUAUGUUAUAUGUGGAAUUUAUCUUUAAAGUUAAAAGACUAAAAUGCUUAUAUGGGACGAGAAGACCCUAUAGAGCUUUAUAUAUAUAUAUAAUGCAUGUGGUUAAAGGUUUAGUUUUCGGUUUAUACAAAUAUAUUGUGUUGGGGAGACAUCAAGAUUAUACAAACUCUUUAUUUAUUUAUACAAAGAUUUAUGGGUAUAUGUUCCAAUAUUAUUGUUCGAAAGAUAUCGUUACCUUAGGGAUUACAGCGUUUUUCUUUGAGAGUUCAUAUCACAAAGAAAGAUUGCUACCUCAAGUUUGGAUUAAGAGAAAAAUUACGUGCAGCAGUUAUAUCAAUAAGUCUGUUCGACUUUAUAAUUCUUAC